GUCGUUGUCACCGUUCUCCUGGUGUCACUCGCUCUCGUGUCGCUGAGCGGCACCGCUGGCAGCGGGUCUCCUGUCCUCCCGCUCUCCCCCUCCGCGGUGAAAUGGUACAGCCCGGCGGCCGGUCGGAGCGCCGGGCGCCCCCUGGCGGCGCGGGCGGGAAGGGCGGCUCCCCCCGCGGCCGCUCCAACCGGGAGAGCCCCGGGAAGCGUCGGGAGCAUCGGGAUAAUCGGCACCGCUCCCUUGUCCCGCCGCACCGGCCUCGGAUGGCUUGAAAACAAGGACGAGCUCGGCUGUCCCCGCCCCGCAGCGAGGGCCGUGACCUGCCCUGCAGAAAAUAGAUUUCCAUGGGAACUUUUGGAGCAGCACUCGACCUUGUCUUCAAGAAGCUCUGGGCCAUGACUCAUUUGGCAAUUCCUCACAAAAACAACGGCUCCUGGAUCCUUAAAAAACCAACUCCUAAUCACACUCUGUUCUGUGCUGAUAAGCAAUUCAUAAACCCACACAUAUUAUUUAUGUCCAAUGUCCUUCACUCCUGCUCCAGUGCACUUAAUUCAGCUUUUUAAUAAGGAAACUUCAGGCUGUGCAAUAAAUGAACUGAGGGAGAGUUUGAUUUA
Molecule: long non-coding RNA, 614 nt
Organism: Pseudopipra pipra
Lineage: Eukaryota; Metazoa; Chordata; Aves; Passeriformes; Pipridae
Exons: 2
Source: RefSeq, a predicted model, not a curated record